GGAGCAUGUAUACAGGUGGUGCAUGGUUGUCGUCAGCUCGUGUCGUGAGAUGUUGGGUUAAGUCCCGCAACGAGCGCAACCCCUGUUCUUAGUUGCCAGCACGUUAAGGUGGGAACUCUAAGAAGACUGCCGGUGAUAAAUCGGAGGAAGGUGGGGACGACGUCAAAUCAUCAUGCCCUUUAUGUCCUGGGCUACACACGUACUACAAUGGCUAUAACAAAGGGAAGCGAGACCGCGAGGUGGAGCAAAACCCAAAAAAGUAGUCUCAGUUCGGAUUGGAGGCUGAAAUUCGCCUCCAUGAAGCCGGAAUUGCUAGUAAUGGCAGGUCAGCAUACUGCCGUGAAUACGUUCCCGGGCCUUGUACACACCGCCCGUCACACCAUGAGAGUUGGGAAUACCCGAAGCCUGUGAGCUAACUUUUUAAGAGGCAGCAGUCGAAGGUAGAAUCAAUGAUUGGGGUGAAGUCGUAACAAGGUAGCCGUAUCGGAAGGUGCGGCUGGAUCACCUCCUU
This 511-nucleotide ribosomal RNA is filed under the name uncultured bacterium. Its description in RNAcentral is "bacterial SSU rRNA". It matches the Rfam family "Bacterial small subunit ribosomal RNA", at positions 1023 to 1532 of the family's 1533-position model. The record is from RNAcentral.